CCGAGCCCGAGCCGCACCACGUGUACGGUGUUGACUGUCAAGGCGUCCAGGAGCCCGGUUCCCGGAAGCGGUGAGUCCCGACGCUGCGAACCCCGAACCAUGAGCGCCCCGGGCGUGCUGUCGUUCACCCAGCAAGGCUGGGAGCAGGUGCUGGCCAAAGUGAAACGCGCGCUCGUCUACCUGGACGCCGCCUGCGCCGAGAGCCUGCACUGGGGCUGCGGAGCGUCGCGGCUGCUGGAGGCGGUGGGAGGCCCGGCGUGUCACCUGCGGGAGUUCGAGCCCGCGGCCGUGGGCGGGGGCGCCGAGCAGCCCAAGGCCGUGUUCGUGCUGAGCUGCCUGCUGAAGGGCCGGACCGUGGAGACCCUCCGGGAGAUCAUCGGCCGCAGUCGCUUCCAGUACUGCGUGGUGGUCACCGCCGUGAGCCACGCUGCCCACCUCACCGCUAAUCACGUGCCGGCGGCUGCAGCGGCGGAGCUGGAGGGGCAGCCGGUGUUCGAGCAGCUGGAGGAGAAGCUGUGUGAGUGGAUGGGCAACAUGAACUACACGGCCGAGGUGCUGCACGUCCCGCUGUGGCUCGCCCCCGUGGCGCCCCACCUUGCUUUGACCCCGGCCUUUGCUUCCCUCUUCCCGCUACUGCCCCGGGAUGUGCAUCUCCUCAACAGGGCUCGUCCAGACAAGAGGAGGCUAGGAAGCCUGAGCGAGGUGGAUGCCGCCGCCCUGCCCCCCGAGCUGCUUCUGCAGAUCAGGUGCCUGGUGUCAGGCCUCAGUUCUCUGUGUGAACAUUUGGGGGUGCGGGAGGAGUGUUUUGCUGUAGGUUCCCUCAGCCGGAUCAUCGCUGCAGAUCUGGCUAGUUACGCCCCUGCCAAGAACAGGAGGAAGACCGCCGCGGGCAGGGCCUCAGUGGUCUUUGUGGACAGGACUCUGGAUCUCACGGGAGCAGCUGGGCAUCAUGGAGACAACUUGGUAGAGAAGAUUAUUUCAGUGCUUCCCCAGCUUCCAGGCCACACCAACGAUGUGAUGGUUAACAUGGUGGAACUUACAGCACUCCAGAAUGAGGAGAAAAAUCAAAGUAUGAUUGCACCAGGCUGUCUUGCACAAUCCAAUGACACAGCUGCCAAAGCUCUGUGGGAAGCCUUACUGAGCACCAAGCAUAAAGAGGCAGUGAUGGAAGUCCGGAGACAUCUAGUGGAAGCAGCAAGCAGAGAAAACCUGCCAAUCAAAAUGAGUAUGGGAAGAGUCACCCCAGGGCAGCUCAUGUCCUAUAUUCAGCUCUUUAAGAACAAUCUCAAAGCUAUAGUGAAUCACUGUGGGCUUCUACAGCUUGGGCUGGCCACAGUUCAAACCCUGAAACACCCGCAGACUGCCAAGUGGGACAACUUCCUGGCUUUUGAAAGACUCCUCCUCCAGAGCAUUGGGGAGUCGACAAUGUCUGUUGUGUUAAAUCAGCUGCUGCCCAUGAUUAAGCCUUUGAACCAGAGGACCAAGGAUGACUACAGCCCUGAAGAGCUGUUGAUCCUCCUGAUAUAUGUUUACUCUGUCAGUGGAGAGUUCACAGUGGACAAAGACCUGGGAGAAGCUGAUGAAAAAGUGAAGGAAGCAUUGGCUCGGGUCUUUUGUGAAGAAUCUGAGUUGUCACCUUUGCUACAAAAAAUCACAGGCUGUGACUCUUCAAUUAAGCUGACAUUUCACAAAUCCAAAAUUGCUGUGGAUGAGCUCUUUGCCUCGCUUCGGGAUAUCGCUGGAGCUCGGAAUCUCAUGAAACAGUUUAAGUCUGUGUAUGUUCCUGGAAACCAUACCCACCAGGCAUCCUAUAAGCCAUUGUUGAAGCAGGUUGUGGAAGAAAUAUUUAAUCCUGAGAGGCCAGAUCCAGUGGAUAUUGAACACAUGUCUUCAGGCCUCACUGAUCUCCUUAAAACUGGAUUUAGCAUGUUUAUGAAGGUGAGCCGGCCUCAUCCCAGCGACCACCCUCUGCUGAUCCUCUUCGUGGUGGGCGGAGUCACUGUCUCCGAAGCCAAGAUGCUCAAAGACCUCGUGCCGUCCCUGAAGCCGGGAACCCAGGCUCCAGAUACCUGAGGGCGACUCCCAGGGACCACGUCCCCACCGUGGCACCUGGAGGGCUGGAGGAAUUGGGGGAGGCACGUCAUCAAGGCAGUGACACACGAGGAGAUUCGGCUGCUGGCACGAUGCUUGGGGAGCCCGGGGAGGCACCCUGGGCGCAGAGCCCCUGCCCUGCCUCCGGAAGUUCCAUCUGUCUGGGGAAGCGGAGCCUGUCACGCGGUCAUCGUGCUGUCCACGCGACUCCUGAAGCCGCUUAACAUUCCUGAGCUGUUAUUUGCCACCGACCGGCUGCAUCCAGACCUUGGCUUCUGAGCGAUGCUGCUGCUGCGAUGACACCUGCCCGUGGUGGAAACACCUGUAUUGCCGCCUGUCGCCCUUCACGACCCGCCUCCGAAACCAACGUCCUCUGCCCAUUGUGGGGAGGACGGAAUUCUCCCUGAAGGGUCUUGACCACACGUAGCGAAGGACUGCGCUCGGAUUGCCAGCGAUUCUUUAAAAAAAAAAAAAAAAAAAUCAUCUUCCUAAAGGUAUCAAACUUUCGGCCUGCUUCACUCAACCUAAUUCUCAUUUCUCCUUCGCCCUGUUGACCUUCCCGAUUCCAAGGGCAAGGUUGUCAGCGCUACGUAAACACCUGUUGGCAAGCGCUGGCGGAUUACGAGCCGUUUGGUCUGCAGUCGCUCAAGAAAUGAGACCUGCUUUGGACUUCCGGGUGCGAGGGAAGUGUGGCUUUCCCUAAGAUCAUGUAACUGGGGGGAACAUUGCAGAUGGGAUCUGGGACCUCGCUGAGAGGCCGGAGGGGCGGGUGGCAGCCGGGGCCUGCCCUGUCCACCCAUCCGGCCACUGUCCCCCGUGCUCGCACGCAGGCCCACCGGCCCACUUGGAACAGUGGUGGGGGAGGUGGAUUGGGCGGCUGUCCCUGCCUAGCAAAGGGCUUCCUCCCCGCCCAAGGGAAGGCCCCCUAAAGGUGUCUGGUCCAGGGAGUCCAGACGGGGACCCCGACCCCCGGGACCUCCAGGAGUCCACGUUUCUACUGAAAUAGAAAGCUCGCUUUUUCUGUUGGUCUGACUUUUCCUUCCGGUUAUGACAGAAAACCCUCGACCCCACGAGUGAAGCUAGUUAAGAACCCCGGCAAACAUUAACUGCUUGGAACCCAGCUAUGCAUUUGUGUAGGUGUAGGGUUCGCGGAAAUUUCUAGCGCCUCCGAAAGAUGUUUGUAAUGAAGAGGGGAAGCGGAAAAACCGCUCUAGAGUGGAUUAAACAGGUAGGGACGCGAAAUGUCAAUCAAAACACUCACACAUGUCUCAGAUUUUAGUUCCCUCUAAAAUAAUGUCAUUUUAUGAAAAAGACUGUGAAGUUGGAAAGCAUUCGGAGACACGAUCACAGCAGGUCUUAUAUACACCAGUGUUCUUUUUCUUUCCUUUUUCCUUUUUUUUUUUUUUUUUUCUUUUUUUGGUCCGAGUAUGCUUUCCAGCUAACUCCAGUGGUGCUGAUCCUGGAGAGCCCCCACGCCUCUUUCAUUCCUCUUUAUCUAGAAGCUUGAAUCUGAGGAAGGAAGAAAAUGGCAAUAGCCCGAAAGAAAUGGUAAUUACAGCAGAGAUCGCUCUUUUCUAAAAUUAAAAAUAAUAAUAAUAAUAAUAACCUGUUA
Canis lupus familiaris (dog) is the source of this 3703-nucleotide RNA transcript. It is a transcript of the gene named sec1 family domain containing 2, with no coding region annotated. The record is from RefSeq and is a predicted model, not a curated record. The transcript is spliced from 11 exons. NCBI's taxonomy places the organism in Eukaryota, Metazoa, Chordata, Mammalia, Carnivora, Canidae.